GCUGGGUGUGGUGGUGCACACCUGUAAUCCCAGCACUUUGGGAGGCUGAGGUGGGGGGUUCACUUGAGACUAGGUGUUCGAGACCACCCUGGCCAACAUGGUGAAAUCCCAUCUCUA
This is an unclassified non-coding RNA of Callithrix jacchus (white-tufted-ear marmoset), 117 nucleotides long. It matches the Rfam family "Metazoan signal recognition particle RNA". Rfam says of the family: The signal recognition particle (SRP) is a universally conserved ribonucleoprotein. The record is from Ensembl. Lineage: Eukaryota; Metazoa; Chordata; Mammalia; Primates; Cebidae.